Long non-coding RNA from Erinaceus europaeus (western European hedgehog), 1754 nucleotides. RefSeq lists it as uncharacterized. The transcript has 5 exons. NCBI's taxonomy places the organism in Eukaryota, Metazoa, Chordata, Mammalia, Eulipotyphla, Erinaceidae. The record is from RefSeq and is a predicted model, not a curated record.
CGCGGCGCGCGGGAGGGGGCGCUGAGCGAGCCCACGUGAUCCCCGGAAACUAUGGCAACCACUCGCGGCUGGUGCUGAGCGCCCGCCGCCCCGACGGCUGCCUGGCUGAGCACUCGGGUGGAUGCCCGCGCCUGCGGGCCACCAACUUGCAGAUGCUACUAUGACUCCAAUCUGACUUCCCUGGGCAGAAGACUUCAAUAAUGUGUCCUGAAACACCACCUCCCCAGAGCCCUGUCCACUGGGGAAAGAUAGAAACAGGGUGGGUGUAAGGAUUGACUUGCCAACAUCUAUAUCCAGUGGAGAAGAAAUCACUGAAGCCAGACCUUCCACCUUCUGCACCCCAUACAUGAUCCUGGAGACAGAGAAAUUGAGAGGAAGGGGACAACAAACAGAAAGACACCAACAGCACAGCUUCACCACUUAUGAAGCUCCCCCUCACAGCUUCUGCCUGAGAGUGAGAUCAUCCCAUAUUCAUCCUUCUAUUUCUGGCUUAUUUCACUUAACAUGAAUUUUUCAAGGUCAUACAUCAGACAAGAGACUAAUAACCAAAAUAUAUAAAGAGCUUGCCAAACUCAACCACAAGAAAACAUAUGACCCCAUCCAAAAAUGGGGAGAGGACAUUGACAGAAUUUUCACCACAAGAGAGAUCCAAAAGGCCGAAAAACACAUGAAAAAAUGCUCCAAGUCUUUGAUUGUCAGAGAAAUGCAAAUUAAGACAACAAUGAGAUAAUACUUCACUCCUGUGAGAAUGCCAUACAUCAGAAAAGAUCCUGUUUGGACCGAUGCUGAGCACUUAGACCCCUCUCAUCUGUGAACUCCUCACAAGAACAUGAGCUGAAGCAUGGCUUGCAGCAGUCCAACACCCUGAAUAUGCCAAGAUUGCCACCCAGGAGCCACUUGAACUUGGGGACACCUCUGAAAGUCUCUGUUCUGAGCUUCCCUGGAACAUCUCUGGGUUAGAGAUAGUUACUAGACCACAGGUCUUCAGGCUAACAGGGUCUUAUCUGAUACCCAGUUAUUAUGCCUGCACUCUGGGGAGUCAAGGCAGAGCUUACAGAGAUAACCCUAGAAUCACUAAAGAUUUGCUUAUUUCUCCAAUGCUCAUACAGAUUGAACAUCUUGUCCAUGUCUAUAAUCAGAAGUGGGGAAUUGUUGUGACCCCAACAGGAGUUUGGGACUCUUAACAUAUAAAUGACAUCACCCUGAGGCGGGACAGACAGAGAAGGGAAUGUGUAAAAGCACAGACUCUGAGUAAGUUGCUCUUUUUGGCUGCUGCUGCUUCUCUCUGUCAGAAGUAUCUUGACGGAGGUGCACCAGGUAUCUACCAUGGCUACUUCUGGGAACUGAACACAUGUGACUGCUAGCCGGGCAACUUUUAGACCCUUCUACGGCCAUGAGUAACCUAUACCUCAGCUGAUAAUUGUUUAUCUUAUGGGACUAAACUUUUGAUAAUUAUACUCAGACUUUAUGGACCUAGCGUACUCUUAACCUCUGAUGAUAAUUGCUUAUUUACCUUUUACCUGUUUCACCCUAAUAAAUCUUGUGUUGUUUAAACCAGUCUCCAGCUCCCCGCUGUGAAUCCUUUUACACAACCCAACAGCUCCCAAAUCCCUUUUUAAGUUAAAUAACAACAAAUUAGUGAUAGAACUUGGACCUACAUAUAUCUUUCCUUCUAAAAUAAUUUCAUUUAUCACUGAAUACAUUUUACUUUAUUUGUUUCUGUAAUGGUAGGCAUUACAGAAUAGACUUUAUUA